GGAGAGAAGAUUUAAAAGAGAGAGAGGGAGUUACGUAGCUGUCGUUCGAUCGAUGAUAAUGAUCCCGUUGAUGAUAGCUCCGAACGUUAUUAUACGCGUCUCAUCGAUGCAAGAUAAAAGAGAGCGAAAUAUUGAGAGAUGCGAGAGAGAGAGAGAGAGAGAGAGAGAAAGGAAAGG
Long non-coding RNA from Apis florea (little honeybee), 177 nucleotides. Lineage: Eukaryota; Metazoa; Arthropoda; Insecta; Hymenoptera; Apidae. The record is from RefSeq and is a predicted model, not a curated record.